GUGAAAUUGUUGUAAAGGGAAACGAUUGAAGUCAGUCAUACCAACGGGAAAUCAACCUCUUGAGCUCGGUCUCGUGGGUUUUGAAGAGUUUCAAAGCCUUCGGAGUUCGCGGGAUUGGGGAUCUCUUGGUGUACGUUUUCGUACGGUUAGUCAACAUCGGUUUUGAAUGUCAUAAAAUGACUGGAGGAAUGUAGCUUCGAUCUCGUAUUGAAGUGUUAUAGACUCCGGCAGAUGUGAUGAUCGGGAUUGAGGAUUGCAACGGAUACCCUUCGGGGCUACCCGUCUGAUCUCUGAAAGUUGCUCUGGUGCCGAAAGCUCGCUUACGGUCAUCAAAGUUGACGUUCAACAGGUUAGAACGGGAUAAAUUCGUUAAGGAUGUUGACGUAAUGGCUUUAAACGAC
This 401-nucleotide ribosomal RNA is filed under the name uncultured Glomeraceae. Its description in RNAcentral is "eukaryotic LSU rRNA". The record is from RNAcentral. Lineage: Eukaryota; Fungi; Glomeromycota; Glomeromycetes; Glomerales; Glomeraceae.